AAGUGUGAUGCCUCUGAACAUGGUGCUUCAGCUGAGGCUUUAUCAACCUUGUACAGACAUGAAGUGCUCCUUCUUGUGUCCAGCUGGCUCUUUUUUUCUGAUUAGAAAACCAUUAGAAAAGCCACGGUGUUCGACCAUGUAAGUUGAGGAAGCUCCAGAUCCUUUUCUGAAAGACACUGAAUAAUUUUAAUAAUUACUUAAUAUCAGUAUCCAGUAUCAUAAGCCAUAAGUCUCAGUCUGUUUUAGCAGUCUACUCUUUCUUGUGGCACCUGCAAGCACCCUCUCUAGCUCUGAAUUGCCCUGAAAAAUUCUAUGACUCGUUCCAGGAAAGAUCUUUGCUGUAUGGCAGCUUGCUUGAGUCAUGUUGCUGAGCCACCUUGGGAAACCUGCCCUCUGGCUGCCAGGUCUGCUGCUUUGCAAACAGCAUGCUUUGUUCUUCAGGGUCAAGAGAAUUCACAGGUUUGAGGAGGCCACUGAAAGUCAGUGACCACAGGGACAGGAACAUGCUGAGGUAGCUGAGACACUGUAGCAGCAGCGAGUAAGAAGAAUAAAGGUGAGCAGGAAUGAUUCAUCUUCAGUGAGAAGGAGUAGGGAUUCCCACCAAGAUCCCAGGGUGAAGCCAGGCCCUGUCCCUGCCCUCCAUCACAACAAAUCCCUGGCAGCCCUGUAAGCAGAAACACAUCAGCAAAGAUAGAGAAAAUGUUGUUGCUGCAGGUGAGCAGAGUCUUAUACAGCCACAGUGCCACAAAACUGUGCAUCCUCGGCUGCAGCAGUGUCCCGCACAUGGAACAGAGAGCAGCAGCAAGGAAGCAGGUUUUGUUUGUGUUUAAAGUACAGCUGGCAAGUACCUGAAGAAUGCAUUCCAGUCUCAUUUUCCUUAGUUUUCUCAACACACGUGCAAACAGAACCUGCAGAGCUGCUUCAUGAAGGCAAGCAGCUGAAUGAAGUGAAAAAAGUGGUUCACUGGAGAAGUGUCUCACUGAUUCCAAAAACAAUUUCAUUCGUAUUCAAGUACCGAUAUUAGUGUGAUAUCACUCCAAGGACAAGCAGAGCAAAUGUCUUCGUAAAAUAGCGAGAGAGAGCAUCGGUGUGCUGAGCUGCCAACAAAAUAAAUUUCACUAAAAUUACA
RNAcentral lists this long non-coding RNA (1129 nucleotides) under Numida meleagris (helmeted guineafowl). RNAcentral's name for it is "lncRNA (ENSNMEG00000012862.1)". Lineage: Eukaryota; Metazoa; Chordata; Aves; Galliformes; Numididae. The record is from RNAcentral.